GAGUUUGAUCAUGGCUCAGGAUGAACGCUAGCUACAGGCUUAACACAUGCAAGUCGAACGGGGCAGAGAGCUUCGGUUUUCUGCUUAGUGGCGAACGGGUGAGUAACGCGUGAAGAACCUGCCUUCCAGUGGGGGACAACAGUUGGAAACGACUGCUAAUACCGCAUGACACUUCUGAGGGGCAUCCCUUAGAAGUCAAAGCUUUAUGUGCUGGAAGAUGGCUUCGCGUCUGAUUAGCUAGUUGGCGGGUAACGGCCCACCAUGCCGACGAUUGGUAGCCGGACUGAGAGGUUGAACGGCCACAUUGGGACUGAGAUACGGCCCAGACUCCUACGGGAGGCAGCAGUGGGGAAUAUUGGGCAAUGGGGGAAACCCUGACCCAGCAACGCCGCGUGAAGGAAGAA
RNAcentral lists this ribosomal RNA (404 nucleotides) under uncultured bacterium. RNAcentral's name for it is "bacterial SSU rRNA". It matches the Rfam family "Bacterial small subunit ribosomal RNA", at positions 9 to 412 of the family's 1533-position model. The record is from RNAcentral.